RNAcentral lists this ribosomal RNA (673 nucleotides) under Orcula dolium. Its description in RNAcentral is "partial 12S ribosomal RNA". The record is from RNAcentral. Lineage: Eukaryota; Metazoa; Mollusca; Gastropoda; Stylommatophora; Orculidae.
CCAAAAACGGACCAUCCUCCUUUUUAGAAAAAUUAUCUACUAAACUUGAUAGGCAUAAUUGUUACUAGGUUAAAAGAUCAUGGAAACUAAAGUAAACCCAGUCUAAAGUUUUAAAAAAUAUAUCAAUAUAUAUUUAGUAUUUCUAGGGUAUUAAGGUUAAUAUGGUGCCAGCAACCGCGGUCAGACCUUAUUAAUAAAUAAUUUAUAAUAAUCUAUUUAUAUAAUAAUAUGUGCUUAUAUAGUGUAUAGUAAAAUGUUACUAUAUCCAAAAAGUUAAGUGUAUUUUUCUUAUAUCAAAAUAAGGUAAAAAACUAGGAUUAGAUACCCUAUUAUUCUUAAUGAAAAGAUCAUAGAUUGAGGAGUAAAAUUAUUAUAAACUCAAAAGUCAUGGCGGCUGUUAUAAUUUAUCAGGGGAGCUUACCAAAUAAUUGAUAACCACCAAGAUACUCUUCUUAAGUUAAAAAGUUUGUAUGCCGUCGUCUUAAAUUUUUCAGAGAAAAAUUUUUAUACUUAAGAGAGGUAAGAAGACAGAUCAAGGUGCAGCUAAUACUAGAGAUUUAAGGCGAGCUACAGUAACUGAAUAUUUACCCAUGCGACAUUAAAAUAUCGCUGAAGUUGGACUUGAAAGUAAGUCACAACAAAAAUUAAUAACUGAAUAGCUUAUUAAUAGUGC